This 303-nucleotide long non-coding RNA is filed under the name Mytilus galloprovincialis (Mediterranean mussel). The record is from RNAcentral. Lineage: Eukaryota; Metazoa; Mollusca; Bivalvia; Mytilida; Mytilidae.
GAUAACAUGAGCGCAGCAAGAAAUGGUCUUGUCUACGUUGUUAUAAAAACGUUUCUAAUCAAAAUAUUCCUUCUUGUCUUACUAUUUAACACAAUACGAGUUAAAGACUAUGCUGAUUGAGAAUUUGUUUCGAUAUGACUUGUCAUGAGAGCGUUAAUCAUGAUAAAGAUAAAGGAAGAGAUAUCAGUCUAAAUCUAGUAGACUAAACAUUCCGCAUUUGAAUUGAUAACAUUGUCUUUCUUAAAAUAAACAUAUUGUAUAAAAAGUUAAUGGAUUCGUCAUGGACAAGGAAAAAUACAAGCA